RNAcentral lists this ribosomal RNA (468 nucleotides) under uncultured bacterium. RNAcentral describes it as "partial 16S ribosomal RNA". It matches the Rfam family "Bacterial small subunit ribosomal RNA", at positions 28 to 507 of the family's 1533-position model. The record is from RNAcentral.
GAUGAACGCUGGCGGCGUGCCUAAUACAUGCAAGUCGAGCGGACAGACGAGGAUCUUGCGGGUCGGACGAGAGGCGAACACGUGAGAGAAACGCGUGUAUACUCUACCUGUAAGAGGGGUAUCACCUCGAAAAACGGGCGCAUAUCGCGGAGGAGCUAUUGCAGCGCGUUGUUGGAUGGUAAGAGUCGGCGGUGCGGGAUGGACUAGCGGCUUAUGCGCUGGUUGGUGUAGUAGUGGCUUACCAAGGCUAUGACGGGUAGGCGGCCUGGGAGAGUGACCAGCCUCAUUGCGACUGAGAGACGGCCCAGACUCCAACGGGAGGCAGCAGUGGGGAAUAUUGCACAGUGGGCGGAAGCCUGAUGUGACAACGCCGGGUGCGUGAUGAUCGCUUUCGAGUUAAAAACCACUGUCGCCUUUAACAUGGCGUGAGUGACGGUAAUUGGUAAGAAAGCACCGGCUAACUACGUG